Molecule: long non-coding RNA, 912 nt
Organism: Culex quinquefasciatus (southern house mosquito)
Lineage: Eukaryota; Metazoa; Arthropoda; Insecta; Diptera; Culicidae
Exons: 3
Source: RefSeq, a predicted model, not a curated record
UUUAUCACGUGAAACUUAAAAAUUGAUUCCGGAUAGUGUGGGGUCUCGAUUCCAGGGAAAAUCAAGGCGUUGCUGUCCAAGGAAGAGUAAGAAACAAAAACAAGUGCCUACUCCUGCGGUAUCUUUCGUUUUCACACAUCACAGAGUUGUGAAAUUAAUUUUCGACUUUUUUUUGGUGCUUAUUGAAAUAGGUCAUCGACGAGAUUAAUCAUUAGUUGGAUGGUCGGGUAAAUCGUCGACGGAAGUUCCUACCAGAGUUUGCAAUUAUGAACUUCUUACGAUCAACUUCUGGAGAAGUGGUCCGGCCGUCUUCGUGCCAGUUCCUGUUUCGGUUCGAGACGUGCCUUCUGGUAUUACAAGUUGAGUCGAUUGGCCGGAAUGGAGCAAAAACGCAUGCACUACGACCCGCAGGCUUCCAUUUGACCGGCAGCUCGGUUCUUUUCUGACAGUUUGGGAACCUCCGGAGACAUACAAAGACGUUACCAAGAUUUCGUCCACGCAACGAGAGGUUGAAGCGGAGCCAGCAUCGAACGAUACUGCCAUUCACAGCUCGUGGAAACGACUCAUCGCUCAUACGCUCAUUUAGAUACAAGUUGGCAGCAUGGCCACCACGAUAAUCCUGCCAGGUUGAAUUACGGUCAGCAGAUGACGUUUCGAUUUAAACCGUAAGUUGAAGAAGUAGGGGAAAUGUUCAUGCAUGUUUUUGCAGGGUAAGGAUUCUUUCCGAUUUCCAUUCAAUUUGCUGUUUUUCACUAUUCAAACAAAUUAUUUUUCGAAACUUUUAAUCUCUGAGCUUUUUAUUACACGAUUUUAGUUGAAAACACCUUUUUGCUGUAAUUGGACGUCAAAGUAGUGAUAGGCCAACCUGCCUGAUGGAAUUACAUGCUGUUCCCCUGUUUGUUAUUUAUAAAU